GUGCUAACACAUGCAAGUCGAACGAUGAUAGAGAGCUUGCUUUUCUUGAUUAGUGGCGCACGGGUGAGUAAUGCAUAGAUAAUGUGCCCUUAGUUCGGGAUAGCCACUGGAAACGGUGAUUAAUACCGGAUACUCCUUCUUGUUAUAAGACAAGUCGGGAAAGUUUUUCGCUAAGGGAUCAGUCUAUGUUCCAUCAGCUUGUUGGUGAGGUAAUGGCUCACCAAGGCUAUGACGGAUAUCUGGUUUGAGAGGAUGAUCAGACACACUGGAACUGAGACACGGUCCAGGCUCCUACGGGAGGCAGCAGUGAGGAAUAUUGCACAAUGGAGGAAACUCUGAUGCAGCAACGCCGCGUGGAGGAUGACGCAUUUCGGUGUGUAAACUCCUUUUAUUAGGGAAGAUAAUGACGGUACCUAAUGAAUAAGCACCGGCUAACUCCGUGCCAGCAGCCGCGGUAAUACGGAGGGUGCAAGCGUUACUCGGAAUCACUGGGCGUAAAGGGUGCGUAGGCUGGCUUUUAAGUCAGAUGUGAAAUCCAACGGCUCAACCGUUGAACUGCUCUCGAAACUGGUUACCUAGAAUAUGGGAGAGGUAGAUGGAAUUAGUGGUGUAGGGGUAAAAUCCGUAGAUAUCACUAGGAAUACCGAUUGCGAAGGCGAUCUACUGGAACAUUAUGACGC
This 680-nucleotide ribosomal RNA is filed under the name uncultured bacterium. RNAcentral's name for it is "bacterial SSU rRNA". It matches the Rfam family "Bacterial small subunit ribosomal RNA", at positions 44 to 746 of the family's 1533-position model. The record is from RNAcentral.